AACUUUUAUGUUUAGCCAGUUUUGUUCUUAUCAGUAUCCAGUUGAUCCUAUUCCUUUUCAAUCAACUCAAUGGACCCCACAUGUCAUGUUAUUUAUCACUCAUUGCACUAUCUUCUACAACCAUUCAGGCCCCCCAUGUCCAGAUCACUUUGAAGCGCCGCCACCCAACCAAUUUCACUGCGGACGACCAUUAGAUCCUCCACCAGGUCCAUGUUCUGGGUGGCCUAUGCCUCAUAGGAGAUCCAAGUACCCUCCUGAUUCCAGACACUCAAUGGAACCUCCAGUCUCCAAUGGAGGAGGUUGGAGGACGCAUGGAAGACGUGAUUAUGAUAGAUACCAUUGAUGACUGACUGGUAUUAGAAAUUUUAUGUUGGAACUACUGUGCUUACACGUUAGCCCCAUUACAAAUUUAACUUCUGAGAUGCAUGAUUUACUUGGGAUAAGAUACUCGUGAAGUGUGGAAUAAGAGCAUUCCCCACUAAGUUUCCUACAUACUAUUUCUGUUUUGCAUUAUUUCAGAAUGAUAUUGGACUCCGCGACUAAACUCUGAUCAUGGCUGAUUGGUAGUGCUUGGUUGGGCCUGGUGGUGUUGUGGCAAUGGUUAUGGUUUUCCUUGUCAUUGGUGAAUUGUGAAGCAUUCGUCAAUGUCCAUUCACUGAUGUCCUUAGUGUUAAGUCUCUUGAAAAUAAGAGACGCAACCCACCCACUGUACAUAUGUAGCUGUAGCAGUGUUCUGCAAAUGCAGAAACGGGAGCCAGGCCAGUCGUCUGAAGGGUGUGAGCCAUGUUGUUAACCUUAGCAUUCCACCAUCUUGUCGACAUCGCUGUGUAUUUCUUUCAACACUGUUGCAUCGAACAGUCAUUUUUUUAUGACAAUUUAGUUUGUAGUUUGACAGUGGAGCACACGGCCAAAAUUCAAAUGUUUAUUUUUGGGGUACCUGUAGACUUUAUUGGGCAUCUUUUGAUGACGUAAAUAUGGCUCAAUAUAUUCUUCGGGCGAAUGCAGGCGAGUCGCCGCACACUGCGAGGCAGUUUGGCUCUUCUGAGGUGUGGGUUUGGGAAUGUACUCAAAUUCGAUAUAGAGAGGAAACCAUAGUGGGAUAUUUUGGCGGUAUAAA
Molecule: long non-coding RNA, 1117 nt
Organism: Sorghum bicolor (sorghum)
Lineage: Eukaryota; Viridiplantae; Streptophyta; Magnoliopsida; Poales; Poaceae
Exons: 3
Source: RefSeq, a predicted model, not a curated record